UACGGAGGAUCCGAGCGUUAUCCGGAUUUAUUGGGUUUAAAGGGAGCGUAGGUGGAUUGUUAAGUCAGUUGUGAAAGUUUGCGGCUCAACCGUAAAAUUGCAGUUGAAACUGGCAGUCUUGAGUACAGUAGAGGUGGGCGGAAUUCGUGGUGUAGCGGUGAAAUGCUUAGAUAUCACGAGGAACUCCGAUUGCGAAGGCAGCUCACUGGACUGCAACUGACACUGAGGCUCGAAAGUGUGGGUAUCAAACAGG
Molecule: ribosomal RNA, 253 nt
Filed under: uncultured bacterium
Lineage: Bacteria
Description: partial 16S ribosomal RNA
Rfam family: Bacterial small subunit ribosomal RNA
Source: RNAcentral